GACGAACGCUGGCGGCGUGCCUAACACAUGCAAGUCGAACGGGACUAUUUAGUGAUGAUUUCGGUCUGAACUUUACAGUUUAGUGGCGGACGGGUGAGUAACGCGUGGAUAACCUGCCUUUCACAGGGGGAUAGCAGCUGGAAACGGCUGGUAAUACCGCAUACGCUCAUGUCACCGCAUGGUGAUAUGAGGAAAGAUUUAUCGGUGAAAGAUGGAUCCGCGUCUGAUUAGCCAGUUGGCGGGGUAACGGCCCACCAAAGCGACGAUCAGUAGCCGGCCUGAGAGGGCGGACGGCCACAUUGGGACUGAGACACGGCCCAG
This 321-nucleotide ribosomal RNA is filed under the name uncultured bacterium. Its description in RNAcentral is "bacterial SSU rRNA". It matches the Rfam family "Bacterial small subunit ribosomal RNA", at positions 28 to 334 of the family's 1533-position model. The record is from RNAcentral.